RNAcentral lists this ribosomal RNA (467 nucleotides) under uncultured bacterium. RNAcentral's name for it is "partial 16S ribosomal RNA". It matches the Rfam family "Bacterial small subunit ribosomal RNA", at positions 28 to 507 of the family's 1533-position model. The record is from RNAcentral.
GACGAACGCUGCGGCGUGCUUCACACAUGCAAGUCGAACGGAAAGGCCCUGCUUUUGUGGGGUGCUCGAGUGGCGAACGGGUGAGUAACACGUGAGUAACCUGCCCUUGACUUUGGGAUAACUUCAGGAAACUGGGGCUAAUACCGGAUAGGAGCUCCUGCUGCAUGGUGGGGGUUGGAAAGUUUCGGCGGUUGGGGAUGGACUCGCGGCUUAUCAGCUUGUUGGUGGGGUAGUGGCUUACCAAGGCUUUGACGGGUAGCCGGCCUGAGAGGGUGACCGGCCACAUUGGGACUGAGAUACGGCCCAGACUCCUACGGGAGGCAGCAGUGGGGAAUAUUGCACAAUGGGCGGAAGCCUGAUGCAGCAACGCCGCGUGCGGGAUGACGGCCUUCGGGUUGUAAACCGCUUUCGCCUGUGACGAAGCGUGAGUGACGGUAAUGGGUAAAGAAGCACCGGCUAACUACGUG